This is a non-coding RNA of Paramuricea clavata, 1519 nucleotides long. The record is from the annotation of a GenBank genome assembly. Lineage: Eukaryota; Metazoa; Cnidaria; Anthozoa; Malacalcyonacea; Plexauridae.
AAGCACACAACCCAGGCUCAUUCAAUUCAUCGUCUUCAUCCGACUGCAAGAUUGGUGUCGCAUGGGAACCUUGGCGUGGUGGCAACAGUAGUAAUCUUUGGUAAUCCUGAUGAUACCUGGUAUCUCUUUCGAAAAACGCCAAGUAAAAGAAAAGAUGGAAGUAGGUAUGGUAUCCUUAUAGAACACUUAGUCAAUUAAUUCCAACUUGUAGGUCAAGCCCCAUAUGUUUUAGUUUCUAGGCCACCAGUAGCACGUAUGCGCGCAUGUCCACAGGAAAUGAUGGUAUUGUUAAACACAAUAGUGUGAUUGCUUUGCUUCGAAUAAACCUAGGCCUAGCGGUUAUGUAAAAUAAAAGAAAUUCCGAACAAAAUAUUUUGUCUUCAUUUUAAUGCAUAUCUUGGAUUUUCAAGAUCCGUCCUGUUCGGAAUUUGUUUUAUUUUAUAUUUUUUCAAAUUGUCGGCUGGAAAUGGAUUUUAGCGGUCAUUAGCAGUCAAAGCAGGGCUGCGGUUGUUGCCUUAGUUUGAGAAUUUAGAAGAGCAUUUUCUGCCUUGACAUUUGUCACACAAAAUGGCGGACUAUUUUUCACGUAAUUAAUUGCCGGAUUGCGACUACGUUUAACAGUAUCAAUGGUUAAUUAAGUAUAUCAGUUUUGUUUCAUGGGCUUUCGCAGUUUUAUGAUGAUACUCGAUCUGUUGAAUAUUCAGGAUAAACUUCCAGUUAUAGCCUAAAAGAUAGUUCGAUUAUCACUGAACAUGUUGCAUUAUCGUGAAAGAGGUUUUGGGUGACUAUCAAAUGCCAUCAAUGAAAAAUUACUAAAGCUAGAGUUACGUGGGAGGAAUAGUGUCUUACAUUUCUAAAUAGGUUUUCACGGACGCUAUCUUCUUUUAAAUUAUAUUAUAAAUAUUUUACUGAAAUUGCUCAUUUUUCUGGGAAACAUGGGGUAAACGUUCACCUUAAUGUGAAGACGUGAGUGUAAGAUUAAGUAAGGAGUAACCGCACGAUUAGGUACAAUGUACAGUAAAUGCUCAUUCGUAAAUCGUCUUGUAUAUCAUUACCAGCCGCUUCAACAAGUGCUGGCUGAAAUGCUCUAAACUUCACGGGCAUUUUGCCCUCUUUUAUUUCACAUGAAUGUCGACGAAUUAGGCAUGCAAAUGCGCCAAAUUUAACAAACAUUUCGUAUUUGCUCAUGCGCACAAAGAUCUAGGAGCCAAUUUUGUACGCAAAUCCGCUUCAUUUGACUCCAUUCUUUAGUAAAUUGCGUGCUAAACAUCUGAAAGCAUUUAAGGGCAGAAUGUUUUCCUAUACCUUCCUCCCAAAUGGGCAUGUUCUGGACAACCUGAAACGUAAUGGAUUACAGACCGGAUUCAACUUGAUAAUCCUACCUUGUGAAAUACUUUGAGGUUCGCGAAGAUGUCACGUUGUUUGCAGUGAUUUAGUCGCAAGAAGUGCAACAAUAGUUCCGGUGGUAUGAAUCUCGGAAGCGUUUUUGUUUUUAACGCCAGUCAACACCAGCCUCGAU